Small nuclear RNA from Hippoglossus stenolepis (Pacific halibut), 156 nucleotides. RefSeq annotates it as U1 spliceosomal RNA. The transcript has a single exon. NCBI's taxonomy places the organism in Eukaryota, Metazoa, Chordata, Actinopteri, Pleuronectiformes, Pleuronectidae. The record is from RefSeq and is a predicted model, not a curated record.
AUACUACCUGGCAGGGGAGAUACAUGAUCAUGAAGGUGGUUCACCCAGGGCGGGGCCCAGCCAUUGCACUUCGGUUGUGCUGACUCGCAAGAAUUCCCAAAUGUGGGAAUCUCACUGCAUAAUUUGUGGUAGUGGGGACUCAGUCUCGCCUCCCUG